AGCCCAGAGAAAUUUGGAUUAAUACCUCAUAGUAUAACGACUCGGCAUCGAGAUGUUAUUAAAGUUCCAACGGUAAAAGAUGAGCAUGCGUCCCAUUAGCUAGUUGGUGUGGUAACGGCACACCAAGGCAACGAUGGGUAGGGGUCCUGAGAGGGAGAUCCCCCACACUGGUACUGAGACACGGACCAGACUCCUACGGGAGGCAGCAGUGAGGAAUAUUGGUCAAUGGGCGCAAGCCUGAACCAGCCAUGCCGCGUGCAGGAUGACGGUCCUAUGGAUUGUAAACUGCUUUUGUACAGGAAGAAACACUCCCUCGUGAGGGAGCUUGACGGUACUGUAAGAAUAAGGAUCGGCUAACUCCGUGCCAGCAGCCGCGGUAAUACGGAGGAUCCAAGCGUUAUCCGGAAUCAUUGGGUUUAAAGGGUCCGUAGGCGGGUUUAUAAGUCAGUGGUGAAAGCCCAUCGCUCAACGAUGGAACGGCCAUUGAUACUGUAGAUCUUGAAUUAUUAGGAAGUAACUAGAAUAUGUAGUGUAGCGGUGAAAUGCUUAGAGAUUACAUGGAAUACCAAUUGCGAAGGCAGGUUACUACUAAUGGAUUGACGCUGAUGGACGAAAGCGUGGGUAGCGAACAGGAUUAGAUACCCUGGUAGUCCACGCCGUAAACGAUGGAUACUAGCUGU
RNAcentral lists this ribosomal RNA (680 nucleotides) under uncultured bacterium. RNAcentral describes it as "bacterial SSU rRNA". It matches the Rfam family "Bacterial small subunit ribosomal RNA", at positions 145 to 823 of the family's 1533-position model. The record is from RNAcentral.